Molecule: ribosomal RNA, 156 nt
Filed under: uncultured freshwater bacterium
Lineage: Bacteria
Description: partial 16S ribosomal RNA
Rfam family: Bacterial small subunit ribosomal RNA
Source: RNAcentral
CCUACGGGAGGCAGCAGUGGGGAAUAUUGGACAAUGGGCGCAAGCCUGAUCCAGCCAUGCCGCGUGAGUGAUGAAGGCCUUAGGGUUGUAAAGCUCUUUUAUCCGGGACGAUAAUGACGGUACCGGAGGAAUAAGCCCCGGCUACUCUCCAGACCG